This 73-nucleotide transfer RNA is filed under the name Canis lupus familiaris (dog). It matches the Rfam family "tRNA". Rfam says of the family: Transfer RNA (tRNA) molecules are approximately 80 nucleotides in length. Their secondary structure includes four short double-helical elements and three loops (D, anti-codon, and T loops). Further hydrogen bonds mediate the characteristic L-shaped molecular structure. tRNAs have two regions of fundamental functional importance: the anti-codon, which is responsible for specific mRNA codon recognition, and the 3' end, to which the tRNAs corresponding amino acid is attached (by aminoacyl-tRNA synthetases). tRNAs cope with the degeneracy of the genetic code in two manners: having more than one tRNA (with a specific anti-codon) for a particular amino acid; and 'wobble' base-pairing, i.e. permitting non-standard base-pairing at the 3rd anti-codon position. The record is from Rfam by way of RNAcentral. RNAcentral also lists the same sequence under 1 other name. Lineage: Eukaryota; Metazoa; Chordata; Mammalia; Carnivora; Canidae.
GCCUGGUUGGCUCAUUUGGUAGAGCAUGUGACUCUUGAUCUCAGGGUCAUGAGUUCAAGCCCCACAUUGGACA